UGGGAGAAUCUGUAAAGCUCAGGAGGGAUAGCGCCAUGGAUGAAUAUUAUAACACUAUUGCUUCGUUUAGUCAUCUGUAGCGCUAUCCAUCCUGAGUUUCAUAGCUUCUUCAU
Molecule: microRNA precursor, 113 nt
Organism: Nicotiana attenuata
Lineage: Eukaryota; Viridiplantae; Streptophyta; Magnoliopsida; Solanales; Solanaceae
Rfam family: MIR390 microRNA precursor family
Source: Rfam